RNAcentral lists this ribosomal RNA (459 nucleotides) under uncultured bacterium. RNAcentral describes it as "partial 16S ribosomal RNA". It matches the Rfam family "Bacterial small subunit ribosomal RNA", at positions 339 to 795 of the family's 1533-position model. The record is from RNAcentral.
CUACGGGGGGCAGCAGUAAGGAAUAUUGCGCAAUGGAGGCAACUCUGACGCAGCCAUGCCGCGUGCAGGAAGAAGGCCUUAUGGGUCGUAAACUGCUUUUAUUUAGGAAUAAACCCCCGAACGUGUUCGGGGCUGAAGGUACUAAACGAAUAAGCACCGGCUAACUCCGUGCCAGCAGCCGCGGUAAUACGGAGGGUGCAAGCGUUAUCCGGAUGUAUUGGGUUUAAAGGGUGCGCAGGCGGGCUAUUAAGUCAGUGGUGAAAUCCUGGGGCUCAACUCCGGAACUGCCAUUGAUACUGAUAGUCUUGAGUUUGGUUGAAGUGGGCGGAAUGUAGCAUGUAGCGGUGAAAUGCAUAGAUAUGCUACAGAACACCAAUCGCGAAGGCAGCUCACUAAGCCAAAACUGACGCUCAUGCACGAAAGCGUGGGGAUCAAACAGGAUUAGAUACCCCGGUAGUC